RNAcentral lists this ribosomal RNA (397 nucleotides) under uncultured bacterium. Its description in RNAcentral is "bacterial SSU rRNA". It matches the Rfam family "Bacterial small subunit ribosomal RNA", at positions 30 to 429 of the family's 1533-position model. The record is from RNAcentral.
AUUGAACGCUGGCGGCAUGCCUUACACAUGCAAGUCGAACGGCAGCACGGGAGCAAUCCUGGUGGCGAGUGGCGAACGGGUGAGUAAUAUAUCGGAACGUGCCCAGUCGUGGGGAUAACGUAGCGAAAGCUACGCUAAUACCGCAUACGAUCUAUGGAUGAAAGCGGGGGAUCGCAAGACCUCGCGCGAUUGGAGCGGCCGAUAUCAGAUUAGGUAGUUGGUGAGGUAAAGGCUCACCAAGCCGACGAUCUGUAGCUGGUCUGAGAGGACGACCAGCCACACUGGGACUGAGACACGGCCCAGACUCCUACGGGAGGCAGCAGUGGGGAAUUUUUGGGACAAUGGGCGCAAGCCUGAUCCAGCAAUGCCGCGUGCAGGAUGAAGGCCUCGGUGUAAC